UACGUAGGGGGCAAGCGUUGUCCGGAUUCAUUGGGCGUAAAGAGCGUGUAGGCGGCCAGGUAGGUCGGUUGUGAAAACUGGAGGCUCAACCUUCAGACGUCGACCGAAACCAUCUGGCUAGAGUCCGGGAGAGGAGAGUGGAAUUCCUGGUGUAGCGGUGAAAUGCGCAGAUAUCAGGAAGAACACCCGUUGCGAAAGCGGCUCGCUGGAACGGUACUGACGCUGAGACGCGAAAGCGUGGGGAGCGAACAGG
Molecule: ribosomal RNA, 253 nt
Filed under: uncultured bacterium
Lineage: Bacteria
Description: partial 16S ribosomal RNA
Rfam family: Bacterial small subunit ribosomal RNA
Source: RNAcentral